This 108-nucleotide non-coding RNA is filed under the name Secundilactobacillus mixtipabuli. Its description in RNAcentral is "Lactobacillus mixtipabuli TPP sequence". It matches the Rfam family "TPP riboswitch aptamer (THI element)". From Rfam's summary of the family: Vitamin B(1) in its active form thiamin pyrophosphate (TPP) is an essential coenzyme that is synthesised by coupling of pyrimidine and thiazole moieties in bacteria. The previously detected thiamin-regulatory element, thi box was extended, resulting in a new, highly conserved RNA secondary structure, the THI element, which is widely distributed in eubacteria and also occurs in some archaea. Analysis of operon structures identified a large number of new candidate thiamin-regulated genes, mostly transporters, in various prokaryotic organisms. The record is from Rfam by way of RNAcentral. Lineage: Bacteria; Bacillati; Bacillota; Bacilli; Lactobacillales; Lactobacillaceae.
AAACAACACGAGGGGUGUCCCACUAUUUCUUUGGGGCUGAGAUGUGCUUGCACUAUCCCUUUGAACCUGUAAGUUCAGACUUGCGAAGGAACGUGUUCAAUUCGGGCC